Molecule: ribosomal RNA, 253 nt
Filed under: uncultured bacterium
Lineage: Bacteria
Description: partial 16S ribosomal RNA
Rfam family: Bacterial small subunit ribosomal RNA
Source: RNAcentral
UACAGAGGUCCCAAGCGUUGUUCGGAUUCACUGGGCGUAAAGGGUGCGUAGGUGGUGGGGUAAGUCUGAUGUGAAAUCUUCGAGCUUAACUCGGAAAUGGCAUUGGAUACUACUCUGCUAGAGGUUUGGAGGGGGGACUGGAAUUCUCGGUGUAGCAGUGAAAUGCGUAGAUAUCAGGAGGAAUACCGAUGGCGAAGGCAGGUCUCUGGGCUGACACUGACGCUCAUGCACGAAAGCGUGGGGAGCAAACAGG